Molecule: long non-coding RNA, 936 nt
Filed under: Monodelphis domestica (gray short-tailed opossum)
Lineage: Eukaryota; Metazoa; Chordata; Mammalia; Didelphimorphia; Didelphidae
Description: lncRNA (ENSMODG00000031059.2)
Source: RNAcentral
AGAAGGCAGAAGGAGGAAAAUAAAGAACUGAGGAGGAGACAGGCUCCGGCUAUAUGACUGCCCACCAUUUGCUGAGCUUUCCAUGUGGCGGAUGCUCUGGGACCUGGAGAACAAGUGAAGAAGAAAAACCAAAAGCCAAUGGGAAAUGACUUAAUUACAGUCUCAAGUAGUUCCUGCUCAUUCCAGGAAUGCUGGGAGUCCAAUGUGCCCGAGCUGAUCUGCAAGGAGGAGUCCUUGGAUGAUGACCUUCCUGAUUCUGAGCUUGCCAUGGAGCCUUCACCCUCCCAAGACAUGGAAAUCAAAGGAAUCAUGUCCCGCAAAGGCAAAGGCGGUAGCUAUGCCAGGGGCAGACAGAGGGCUUCUAUCAUCAAAGCUGGAAGAGGAAAAGGAGAUCCUCAGCAGGCCACUAGAAAGGAUCUGAGAAAGACCGAAGAAAAGGGGGAUACUCUGCUGGCAAUCCAGGAAGAAAAGGAGAAGGAGAAGGCUCCUUUGCUCCCUCUCCUUCAUGCUUUCCCACUUCCUGCGGUCUCCCAGGAGACAUAGUCAAACCUCCCUAGUUGGGCUUUUCUCACUUUUUGACACCUUUUUUCAGUUGAGCAUUAAAAAAAAGCAAAUUGCUCCCUUGGUGCUUUGGUUUGGUUCUUUCAGGGGGGCUGCUGGGCUGGGGAGGGAGGGGAGGGCAAAGCCCCGAGUUCCUGGGAGUUUCUGUCCUUGAGGACCCAGCAGAGCAGCAAGGGCCCCCCUGGGGCCAGGGGGGGACCAUGUGGCCUGGGCGGAGACCCCAGUGUCUUGGACAGACUCCCCCCUGCCACCCAGUCACCCUGGCCAGCCCCAGCCCCAGAGCCUCUUGGCUAAAGCCCUCAGCAGGGCAGGGGCCUGGGGUUUGGGCCUCAGGGAGCCAGCCUGUGGGCGGGGGCGGGGGGCAGCAAGUCCCAG